UGAGGAAUAUUGGUCAAUGGGCGCAAGCCUGAACCAGCCAUCCCGCGUGCAGGAAGACGGCCCUAUGGGUUGUAAACUGCUUUUCCAGGGGGAGAAACUUGCGCACGUGUUGCGCAAUUGACGGUACCCUGGGAAUAAGCAUCGGCUAACUCCGUGCCAGCAGCCGCGGUAAUACGGAGGAUGCGAGCGUUAUCCGGAUUCAUUGGGUUUAAAGGGUGCGUAGGCGGACUAUUAAGUCAGUGGUGAAAUCCUGCAGCUUAACUGCAGAACUGCCAUUGAUACUGAUAGCCUUGAGUUUGGUUAAGGUAGGCGGAAUGUGUAAUGUAGCGGUGAAAUGCUUAGAUAUUACACAGAACACCAAUUGCGUAGGCAGCUUACUGGGAUACAACUGACGCUGAGGCACGAAAGCGUGGGGAUCAAACA
This 423-nucleotide ribosomal RNA is filed under the name uncultured prokaryote. RNAcentral describes it as "bacterial SSU rRNA". It matches the Rfam family "Bacterial small subunit ribosomal RNA", at positions 355 to 774 of the family's 1533-position model. The record is from RNAcentral.